This 72-nucleotide transfer RNA is filed under the name Candidatus Woesearchaeota archaeon. Its description in RNAcentral is "tRNA-Val". It matches the Rfam family "tRNA". From Rfam's summary of the family: Transfer RNA (tRNA) molecules are approximately 80 nucleotides in length. Their secondary structure includes four short double-helical elements and three loops (D, anti-codon, and T loops). Further hydrogen bonds mediate the characteristic L-shaped molecular structure. tRNAs have two regions of fundamental functional importance: the anti-codon, which is responsible for specific mRNA codon recognition, and the 3' end, to which the tRNAs corresponding amino acid is attached (by aminoacyl-tRNA synthetases). tRNAs cope with the degeneracy of the genetic code in two manners: having more than one tRNA (with a specific anti-codon) for a particular amino acid; and 'wobble' base-pairing, i.e. permitting non-standard base-pairing at the 3rd anti-codon position. Lineage: Archaea; Nanobdellati; Candidatus Woesearchaeota. The record is from RNAcentral.
GAGCCCGUGGUCUAGCGGUAUGACGUCUCAUUCACACUGAGGAGGUCGCCAGUUCGAAUCUGGCCGGGCUCA